RNAcentral lists this ribosomal RNA (491 nucleotides) under uncultured bacterium. RNAcentral describes it as "partial 16S ribosomal RNA". It matches the Rfam family "Bacterial small subunit ribosomal RNA", at positions 29 to 506 of the family's 1533-position model. The record is from RNAcentral.
AGUGAACGCUGGCGGUAGGCCUAACACAUGCAAGUCGAACGGCAGCACAGUAAGAGCUUGCUCUUACGGGUGGCGAGUGGCGGACGGGUGAGGAAUACAUCGGAAUCUACUUUUUCGUGGGGGAUAACGUAGGGAAACUUACGCUAAUACCGCAUACGACCUACGGGUGAAAGCAGGGGAUCUUCGGACCUUGCGCGAUUGAAUGAGCCGAUGUCGGAUUAGCUAGUUGGCGGGGUAAAGGCCCACCAAGGCGACGAUCCGUAGCUGGUCUGAGAGGAUGAUCAGCCACACUGGAACUGAGACACGGUCCAGACUCCUACGGGUGGCAGCAGUGGGGAAUAUUGGACAAUGGGCGCAAGCCUGAGCCAGCCAUACCGCGUGGGUGAAGAAGGCCUUCGGGUUGUAAAGCCCUUUUGUUGGGAAAGAAAAGCAGCAGGUUAAUACCCCGCUGUUCUGACGGUACCCAAAGAAUAAGCACCGGCUAACUUCGU